RNAcentral lists this ribosomal RNA (494 nucleotides) under uncultured bacterium. RNAcentral's name for it is "partial 16S ribosomal RNA". It matches the Rfam family "Bacterial small subunit ribosomal RNA", at positions 28 to 507 of the family's 1533-position model. The record is from RNAcentral.
GACGAACGCUGGCGGCGUGCUUAACACAUGCAAGUCGAACGGUGAAGCGCCUUCCUUUUUGGUGGGUGUGGAUGAGUGGCGAACGGGUGAGUAACACGUGAGUAACCUGCCCCCUUCUUCUGGAUAACCGCAUGAAAGUGUGGCUAAUACGGGAUAUUCUGGGUCUGUCGCAUGAUGGGUCUGGGAAAGAUAUUGUUUCGGUGGGGGAUGGGCUCGCGGCCUAUCAGCUUGUUGGUGGGGUGAUGGCCUACCAAGGCGGUGACGGGUAGCCGGCCUGAGAGGGUGGACGGUCACACUGGGACUGGGACACGGCCCAGACUCCUACGGGAGGCAGCAGUGGGGAAUAUUGCACAAUGGGCGCAAGCCUGAUGCAGCGACGCCGCGUGAGGGAUGGAGGCCUUCGGGUUGUGAACCUCUUUCGCCAGUGAAGCAGGCCUGCCUCGUUUGUGGGUGGGUUGACGGUAGCUGGAUAAGAAGCGCCGGCUAACUACGUG